Oreochromis aureus is the source of this 1068-nucleotide long non-coding RNA. NCBI's taxonomy places the organism in Eukaryota, Metazoa, Chordata, Actinopteri, Cichliformes, Cichlidae. The record is from Ensembl.
CUGGAAUGCUCAACCUGCGUCACAGGCUGAUAGCGUUUUUAAGAAAAAAAUAAAAAAAGCACGCCCUCCAUCUGCUUCUCAUCAUCGUCAUCCAUCUCGUCUUCCUCCCCCCGCUCCUGUCAUCCAGACUCUCUGUUUCAUGCUCUGCCUCACCAGUUCAUCCAACCCUCUACCACUACCACAACCUCUGGAGCUGUGGCAUGGAUAAAUAGGCCACAACAGCUGGGCCUGAGUCCUGACCAGGACCACCCCUCCAGACUUGACCAACAACACACCCUUUUCUUUCCCACAAUGACCACCAGCACCUCUGGUCAAAGGGAGGCGUUUGAUCAUAUUCCAGCUGCCACAGGGCGAGAGGCAGGGCCCACCCUGGACAGGUUGCCAGCCCAUUGCAGGGUUUCAAUAUUCCCAUAACAACAAUCUGAUGAAUUGACAAAAUAUUCAUCAGAUUAAUGUUCCUCCACUGCUGAAGGAUUCUCCACUCUCACGCUAUCUGACGAGGCCUGUCCCCGGACCUGUCUGGCAUCAGGAGCCCCUGGCACGAUGCUCCCUAUUGAGUCUUGACAAAAAGUAGGUCACUUGCAAAGCUCCUGCUGGACACGCGCAGUGGAAAGAAAAUAAACGGGGCAGAUGAAUGGAGCUCGACUGGAGGUGGACGGGCUUCCUGCGAGGGCCUCAGAGGGAUGCUGAGACAGAGGUUAAGAUAAUGCAAAGCCAGUAAUGUAAUGCUGUUUCUGUUAUUCGCUAUAGCUGUGGAGAUUAUCGUCCGUCUGAUAUCUAAGUCUUCCUUUCAUUGUUCCAUAUUUUGUGUGUGAUGUAGCUGUCCAAACUUCCUCCUGUUGAGUUCAAUAACAUUUAUCUGAUCUUAUAAAUCAUGCAGGAAUUUCAAAUCCCAUGUCUCUUUUAUAAGGCAUCCUCCCUUCUCUCUACAGCCGCUCCAGUGGUUAAUGUCUGAUAACAAUUAAGCUAUGGGGACCUUUACAAACAAACAAAGAUACAACACAUAUGACCCAUUGUUCACAGCACUGCGAAGCCUACAACAAGUUUGCUGCGCACAUGUUGUUGUCA